UAGUCUUAAUAAUCGCUCUGUGCC
RNAcentral lists this non-coding RNA (24 nucleotides) under Rattus norvegicus (Norway rat). Lineage: Eukaryota; Metazoa; Chordata; Mammalia; Rodentia; Muridae. The record is from RNAcentral.